Molecule: ribosomal RNA, 497 nt
Filed under: uncultured bacterium
Lineage: Bacteria
Description: partial 16S ribosomal RNA
Rfam family: Bacterial small subunit ribosomal RNA
Source: RNAcentral
GAUGAACGCUGGCGGCGUGCCUAAUACAUGCAAGUCGAGCGAACAGACGAGGAGCUUGCUCCUCUGACGUUAGCGGCGGACGGGUCAGUAACACGUGGAUAACCUACCUAUAAGACUGGGAUAACUUCGUGAAACCGGAGCUAAUACCGGAUAACAUGUUGAACCGCAUGGUUCAACAGUGAAAGACGGUCUUGCUGUCUCUUAUAGAUGGAUCCGCGCCGCAUUAGCUAGUUGGUAAGGUAACGGCUUACCAAGGCAACGAUGCGUAGCCGACCUGAGAGGGUGAUCGGCCACACUGGAACUGAGACACGGUCCAGACUCCUACGGGAGGCAGCAGUAGGGAAUCUUCCGCAAUGGGCGAAAGCCUGACGGAGCAACGCCGCGUGAGUGAAGAAGGUCUUCGGAUCGUAAAACUCUGUUAUUAGGGAAGAACAAAUGUGUAAGUAACUAUGCACGUCUUGACGGUACCUAAUCAGAAAGCCACGGCUAACUACGUG